Non-coding RNA from Myodes glareolus (Bank vole), 926 nucleotides. The record is from RefSeq and is a predicted model, not a curated record. NCBI's taxonomy places the organism in Eukaryota, Metazoa, Chordata, Mammalia, Rodentia, Cricetidae.
UGGGCGUGUACACAUGAGUCUGACUGCCCUCAGCAACUGCACCCACCAGUGUGUACUGUUGCCUUCAGACUUUCUGCCUAUACUCUUUGUUUUUUGUUGGUUUGGUUUCUCUGUGUAGCUCUGGCUGUCCUGGAAUUGACUCUGUGACCAGACUGGCCUUGAACUCAAGAGACUCGCCUCUCGAACCCUGGGACUAAAGGAGUGCACCACCACCACCGCCUGGCUACCUAGACUCUGUCUACAGUCUGGAGGAAGUUAAACAUUUGUUUGGAAAAAAAAAUGCUCAAGGUGUUUUAAAAUCUCCAGCCUAGUUACAGGCUCACGUACCAUCCCAGACUGCAGGCCCUACACAGGAUGUUGUGACUCUUCUGAUGCUGCCGUGGGUAACUGUUGUGAUUGAAGGCUUUUCCAUAUUUGUUCCACUUAAAGCGUUUCUCAGUAUGCCUUGAGUUCGGACCUAAAACCUUCCCGCCUGUAUUUUCUCUGGUGUGAACGCUCAGGUGGCAAGUCAGAGCUGACUCACAGACGAAGAGCUCGCCACGCGGCGCGCGCUCAUACAGGCACUCGCUGGUGUCGGCUGUGGCUGAAGGUCUCCUUGCUCGCAGCACAGGCAAAGCGCCUGUUUGCGGCAUGGCUCCGCUGAUGCCGAACAGAUGUUAGGACGGCUGACACGUCUGGACACUGGUAGCCCCUGUAACCUGAGGGGUUCGCUGAUGCUCAUUAAGGUGCGUGCUCAGACAGAAGGUUUUCCCGCAUUUGUAAGGCAGUCUCUCCACUGUGAACCCUCUGGAGGAUCUUCAGGGUGGAGGAGUGGUUGGAAGCUUUGCCACAUUCGCUACACUUGUAUGGCUUCACUCCUGUACGAACAGUCUGCUGCUCAAUGGAUGAUGACCUCUGAUUAAAGUCUUUUUGCAUUCUUUUUUUAA